AUUAAGUACCUGAAUGUAAUUGUAUCCAUGAUCGGAGAAUAUGUUUCUUCAUAAUCAACUCCUUAUCUUUAAGAGAAACUUUGUGCAACAAGUCGGGCUUUAUAUCGUGUUAUCUCAUAUUUCUCAUUUCU
Molecule: small RNA, 131 nt
Filed under: Arabidopsis thaliana (thale cress)
Lineage: Eukaryota; Viridiplantae; Streptophyta; Magnoliopsida; Brassicales; Brassicaceae
Description: ATSL032030
Source: RNAcentral